Long non-coding RNA from Etheostoma cragini (Arkansas darter), 665 nucleotides. RefSeq lists it as uncharacterized. The transcript has 2 exons. NCBI's taxonomy places the organism in Eukaryota, Metazoa, Chordata, Actinopteri, Perciformes, Percidae. The record is from RefSeq and is a predicted model, not a curated record.
ACUGAAACUGGGGAAAUGGCUAGUUUGGGGCAGUCUAAAGGUUAGAAUUGUUAUUACUAGCACCUCCUAAAUCCCACUAAUUAACAUCUGUAGAAGUUUGGAAAACAUUGUUUUUCACACACACACACACACACACACACACACACUGUUAUUGUUCUUCUCAGCUAACUAAGCAACCAGAGGAAUAAUCAUACUUCACCAAAUGUUGAAACCAUUCUUUUAGUUUGAUGCUUUGACCCGUUGUAUUGUCAUUUUUUAAGUCAUAUUCCAUAUAUAUACACACACACACACGCACACACACACAUUUCUAUUCAUUUCAUUUAUUGCAAUUUUUGCUUUAACAUAUAACUUUAUUGUACAUUGCCUCUUAUCUUAUGUCAGGAUUCAGUUCUGUGUAACACAGAAUGGAUGAAGCUAUAAAGAUGUGUGAAGAUCGUGAUUAAAUUGAAUCAUGUUUGUAGAUAUUGAAAUGUAAUUGAAAUUGCAGCAAUUUGAGACAAUCUUUAGAUAUUGUCUACUUAACACAAAUCUUAUUAAGUUGAAUUCCUGAAAUUGACACUUUUGGCAUUAUUUUCUAAAAAAAAAGAAAUGUGUAGGUGUGUCUUAAUGUUGGUAUGCAAACAAUUUAAAGAAUUCAAUAAAAAUACAAAUUUGGUAUAAUGGAA